This 164-nucleotide ribosomal RNA is filed under the name Gordonia paraffinivorans. Its description in RNAcentral is "partial 16S ribosomal RNA". It matches the Rfam family "Bacterial small subunit ribosomal RNA", at positions 1 to 161 of the family's 1533-position model. The record is from RNAcentral. Lineage: Bacteria; Bacillati; Actinomycetota; Actinomycetes; Mycobacteriales; Gordoniaceae.
UUUUCAUGGAGAGUUUGAUCCUGGCUCAGGACGAACGCUGGCGGCGUGCUUAACACAUGCAAGUCGAACGGAAAGGCCCAGCUUGCUGGGUACUCGAGUGGCGAACGGGUGAGUAACACGUGGGUGAUCUGCCCUGGACUCUGGGAUAAGCCUGGGAAACUGGG